RNAcentral lists this ribosomal RNA (382 nucleotides) under uncultured eukaryote. RNAcentral's name for it is "partial 18S ribosomal RNA". It matches the Rfam family "Eukaryotic small subunit ribosomal RNA", at positions 592 to 976 of the family's 1831-position model. The record is from RNAcentral.
UGUAAGCGUAUACCAAAGUUGUUGCAGUUAAAACGCUCGUAGUCGGAAUUUGGCAGUUCCGGAUGUGUGCACGUCGUGUGCGCACUUCGCGGGGAUUGCUUUUGUGGUCUUGCGUAGGAUGAGGCACUUUUAUUAGUGAACGUCCUCACGCAACCACUUUUUACUGUGAGAAAAUCAGAGUGCUCAAAGCAGGCAUUUACCGUGAAUGUAUUAGCAUGGAAUAAUAGAAUAGGACUCGGUUCUAUUUUGUUGGUUUGUUGGGACUGAGUAAUGAUUAAGAGGGACAGUUGGGGGCAUUUGUAUUUCGGCGCUAGAGGUGAAAUUCUUAGAUUGCCGAAAGACAAACUGCUGCGAAAGCGUCUGCCAAGGAUGUUUUCAUUGA